GGUCGAUUCGUCUAGGGGUUAGGACGUGAGAUUCUGAUUAAUUCAGGAAUCCUUCUCAAGGCCUGGGUUCGAUUCCCAGAUUGACCU
This is a non-coding RNA of Xylariomycetidae sp. FL2044, 87 nucleotides long. NCBI's taxonomy places the organism in Eukaryota, Fungi, Ascomycota, Sordariomycetes. The record is from the annotation of a GenBank genome assembly.